Molecule: non-coding RNA, 74 nt
Organism: Aedes albopictus (Asian tiger mosquito)
Lineage: Eukaryota; Metazoa; Arthropoda; Insecta; Diptera; Culicidae
Source: Rfam
UGUUCUGUGGCUUAGUUGGUUAAAGCGCCGGUAUAGCGAAUACGGAGUCGUGGGUUCGAAUCCCACCACAACAC